GUGAGGAAUAUUGGGCAAUGGGCGCAAGCCUGACCCAGCAACGCCGCGUGGAGGAUGAAGGCCUUCGGGUCGUAAACUCCUUUUACGGGGGAAGAGUGAGGACGGUACCCUGAGAAUAAGUCACGGCUAACUACGUGCCAGCAGCCGCGGUAAUACGUAGGUGACAAGCGUUAUCCGGAAUUACUGGGCGUAAAGCGCACGCAGGCGGUUAAUCAAGUCUGACGUAAAAUCUCCUGGCUUAACUGGGAGGGGUCGUUGGAAACUGGUUGACUUGAGGCAAUGAGAGGGGUGUAGAAUUCCCGGUGUAGUGGUGGAAUGCGUAGAUAUCGGGAGGAAUACCAGAGGCGAAAGCGGCACCCUGGCAUUGGCCUGACGCUCAGGUGCGAAGGCGUGGGGAGCGAACGGGAUUAGAAACCCCGGUAGUCC
This 426-nucleotide ribosomal RNA is filed under the name uncultured bacterium. Its description in RNAcentral is "bacterial SSU rRNA". It matches the Rfam family "Bacterial small subunit ribosomal RNA", at positions 354 to 796 of the family's 1533-position model. The record is from RNAcentral.